RNAcentral lists this ribosomal RNA (393 nucleotides) under uncultured bacterium. RNAcentral describes it as "partial 16S ribosomal RNA". It matches the Rfam family "Bacterial small subunit ribosomal RNA", at positions 523 to 918 of the family's 1533-position model. The record is from RNAcentral.
AUACGGAGGAUCCGAGCGUUAUCCGGAUUUAUUGGGUUUAAAGGGAGCGUAGGUGGACAGUUAAGUCAGUUGUGAAAGUUUGCGGCUCAACCGUAAAAUUGCAGUUGAUACUGGCUGUCUUGAGUACAGUAGAGGUGGGCGGAAUUCGUGGUGUAGCGGUGAAAUGCUUAGAUAUCACGAAGAACUCCGAUCGCGAAGGCAGCUCACCGGGCCGGAACUGACACUGAUGCUCGAAAGUGCGGGUAUCAAACAGGAUUAGAUACCCUGGUAGUCCACACAGUAAACGAUGAAUACUCGCUGUUUGCGAUAUACAGUAAGCGGCCAAGCGAAAGCAUUAAGUAUUCCACCUGGGGAGUACGCCGGCAACGGUGAAACUCAAAGGAAUUGACGGGG